CCUACGGGUGGCAGCAGUCGAGAAUUAUUCACAAUGGGGGAAACCCUGAUGGUGCGACGCCGCGUGGGGGAAUGAAGGUCUUCGGAUUGUAAACCCCUGUCAUGUGGGAGCAAAUUAAAAAGAUAGUACCACAAGAGGAAGAGACGGCUAACUCUGUGCCAGCAGCCGCGGUAAUACAGAGGUCUCAAGCGUUGUUCGGAAUCACUGGGCGUAAAGCGUGCGUAGGCUGUUUCGUAAGUCGUGUGUGAAAGGCGCGGGCUCAACCCGCGGACGGCACAUGAUACUGCGAGACUAGAGUAAGGGAGGGGGAACCGGAAUUCUCGGUGUAGCAGUGAAAUGCGUAGAUAUCGAGAGGAACACUCGUGGCGAAGGCGGGUUCCUGGACAUUAACUGACGCUGAGGCACGAAGGCCAGGGGAGCGAAAGGGAUUAGAUACCCUUGUAGUC
Molecule: ribosomal RNA, 446 nt
Filed under: uncultured bacterium
Lineage: Bacteria
Description: partial 16S ribosomal RNA
Rfam family: Bacterial small subunit ribosomal RNA
Source: RNAcentral